GACAACGGCCUGCGAGCAGGCUAGGGCGUGGCUGAACCUAUGGGCUGAACCAAUCAGAGCUCGCGAGAAGAAGCUGUAUGCAAGAAGUCGUGGCGAAUUUGAAAAUUCUGCUCGCCAUUUUGACUCGAAGCUUAGCAAGAAAUUCAUAUUUUAAAAGCGUUUUAUCAAACUUUAUCGAAAUAAAAUAGUUAUGCCAUGCAAGGGGACAGGUUAGUAUUAAACUUAGCUAUAUUGUAAACGUUUAUGAGCUGUUCUUGUCAAGUUCUAGCCGUGUUUUGAAACACGUGCUACAAAUUCAUUGAAUUACUUCGCCUCCCAUCCAAGCACUUCUUUAUCGUUUAGUCGCUUCAUUUCCUUUGUAUUUCUCCCAAAUUUUCUCGCAGUAAUGUUCAGAAAUACCCCAGCUUUAAUUGAUAUAACUCUUAUUUGUUUUAUCUACUUUUUCAGGCAACAAUUUGACGAGAAAGUUGACAAAGUUUACUGAUUUACAGUAAUUAAGUCGCCGACCUGCCGAAGACUCUCGAAGCAC
Non-coding RNA from Paramuricea clavata, 529 nucleotides. The record is from the annotation of a GenBank genome assembly. Lineage: Eukaryota; Metazoa; Cnidaria; Anthozoa; Malacalcyonacea; Plexauridae.